CCGAGUGAAGGGUUUUUACCAAAGCCCGAUCUCCCAACCCUUGUCUUCCUUACCACUUUGCUUUGGCAGGCCCGUCACUAUUGUGACCGCUGAAGGAUUUUAGUUAUAAAAUAUUAACUAAACCUUGGGCCCGUGCCUGCCAGGGGAAUUUAAAUACAUGUUAUAAAAUCAGUUGUCUGAGAAUAAAAAAAACAAAAUAACCA
Molecule: unclassified non-coding RNA, 203 nt
Filed under: uncultured Eurotiales
Lineage: Eukaryota; Fungi; Ascomycota; Eurotiomycetes; Eurotiales
Description: sequence contains ITS1
Source: RNAcentral